Molecule: ribosomal RNA, 460 nt
Filed under: uncultured bacterium
Lineage: Bacteria
Description: partial 16S ribosomal RNA
Rfam family: Bacterial small subunit ribosomal RNA
Source: RNAcentral
GAUGAACGCUGGCGGCAUGCCUAACACAUGCAAGUCGGACGGGAAGUCGUUUUUCCCGUGGCGUACGGGUGAGUGACGCGUAAGAACCUGCCGUUGGGAGGGGAACAACAGCUGGCAACGGCUGCUAAUACCCCGUACGCACAGUAGCACAGGGUGCAAUCCGCCCGUGGAAGCGCUGGGGUUUCAUUAGCUAGGGGGUUGGGCAAUGCGUUACCAAGGCGACGAUCUGUAGCUGACCCGAGCGAAGGAUCGGCCACACUGGGACUGAGACAUGGCCCAGACUGCUACUGGGGGCAGCAGUAGGGUAUAUCGGGAGACGGGCGCGAGGAUGAUUCCGCAAUGCGGGGUAGCUUGAGAAGGCCUUGGCGUGGGGAAGUAGAAUGGCUAGGAGUGAAGAGCAGCAUGUCAAGGCGAAGAAGUAAUGACGGUACCUGAAGAAUAAGCAUCGGCUAACUCUGUG